ACGCAGCCUCCGUCAGUCAGCAGGUCUGAGCAGUAGGGGGUCGUCCCGUGAGGGCGGACCUGGGGAGCCGUGAGAAGAAAGACAGCAGUUGUAAUGAUAUGGCUGCAGGAUGUUGGAGAGAUAAGAGCCUCCCAGGUCCUGGUUAAUCCCUCUCUAAGCUGCUGUCACAUGAGGCCUAAUUGUGAAAGAGCAGGAGAACAGAAUCCUGGUCUCUCCAGUCAUUAAAGAGGUCGUCGGCCUACAGAAAUGCCAUCGAGUGGCAGAGGAAGCCAAAUACCACCAUGACAAUUGCCGGUGUCAGGAUGGUCCCGAACACCAGUCCAGCGAGGCAGGCGUUUAUCGUGGCAAUAAUCAGGUUCUGAGCCG
Molecule: long non-coding RNA, 366 nt
Organism: Perca fluviatilis (European perch)
Lineage: Eukaryota; Metazoa; Chordata; Actinopteri; Perciformes; Percidae
Exons: 3
Source: RefSeq, a predicted model, not a curated record